RNAcentral lists this ribosomal RNA (164 nucleotides) under uncultured bacterium. RNAcentral's name for it is "partial 16S rRNA". It matches the Rfam family "Bacterial small subunit ribosomal RNA", at positions 355 to 511 of the family's 1533-position model. The record is from RNAcentral.
UAGGGAAUCUUCCGCAAUGGGCGAAAGCCUGAUGGAGCAACGCCGCGUGUGUGAUGAAGGGUUUCGGCUCGUAAAACACUGUUGUAAGAGAAGAAUGACAUUGAGAGUAACUGUUCAAUGUGUGACGGUAUCUUACCAGAAAGGAACGGCUAAUUACGUGCCAG